RNAcentral lists this ribosomal RNA (301 nucleotides) under uncultured bacterium. RNAcentral's name for it is "partial 16S ribosomal RNA". It matches the Rfam family "Bacterial small subunit ribosomal RNA", at positions 509 to 807 of the family's 1533-position model. The record is from RNAcentral.
CAGUAGCCGCGGGAACACGGAGGGUGCAAGCGUUAUCCGGAUUUAUUGGGUUUAAAGGGUCCGUAGGCGGAUCUGUAAGUCAGUGGUGAAAUCUCACAGCUUAACUGUGAAACUGCCAUUGAUACUGCAGGUCUUGAGUAAAUUUGAAGUGGCUGGAAUAAGUAGUGUAGCGGUGAAAUGCAUAGAUAUUACUUAGAACACCAAUUGCGAAGGCAGGUCACUAAGAUUUAACUGACGCUGAUGGACGAAAGCGUGGGGAGCGAACAGGAUUAGAUACCCCAGUAGUCCCUGUCUCUUAUAC